GCCCAAGGGUCCGGGAUAACCCCGGGAAACUGGGGAUAAUACCGGAUGGAUCACUUAUGCUGGAAUGCUUGGUGGUCGAAAGGUGACGCCCUUGGAUGGGUCUGCGGCGGAUUAGGUUGACGCCGGUGUAACGUACCGGCGUGCCUGUAAUCCGUACGGGUUGUGGGAGCAAGAGCCCGGAGAUGGAUUCUGAGACACGAAUCCAGGCCCUACGGGGCGCAGCAGGCGCGAAAACUCUACAAUGCAGGCAACUGCGAUAGGGGAACAUCGAGUGGCACCCACCAUGGGUGUCUGUCCAAUCGUCUAAAAAACGAUUGUUAGCAAGGGCCGGGCAAGACCGGUGCCAGCCGCCGCGGUAAUACCGGCGGCUCGAGUGGUGGCCGAUAUUAUUGAGUCUAAAGGGUCCGUAGCCGGCUUUGCAAGUCCCCUGGGAAAUCCAGCGGCUUAACCGUUGGGCUUUCAUGGGAUACUACAUUGCUUGGGACUGGGAGAGGUAGGAGGUACUCAGGGGGUAGGGGUGAAAUCCUGUAAUCCUCUGGGGACCACCGGUGGCGAAGGCGUCCUACCAGAACAGGUCCGACGGUGAGGGACGAAAGCUAGGGGCACGAACCGGAUUAGAUACCCGGGUAGUCCUAGCCGUAAACGAUGCUCGCUAGGUGUCACGGCAGUCGUGAAUUGUCGUGGUGCCGUAGGGAAGCCGUGAAGCGAGCCACUUGGGAAG
RNAcentral lists this ribosomal RNA (721 nucleotides) under uncultured archaeon. Its description in RNAcentral is "bacterial SSU rRNA". It matches the Rfam family "Archaeal small subunit ribosomal RNA", at positions 111 to 835 of the family's 1478-position model. The record is from RNAcentral.